CUCGCAAGACGACUUGCGAGAUGUAAGCAAUCGGGACGGCCCG
This 43-nucleotide non-coding RNA is filed under the name unclassified sequences. Its description in RNAcentral is "mini-ykkC.2008-01-16 RNA". It matches the Rfam family "Guanidine-II riboswitch aptamer (mini-ykkC)". From Rfam's summary of the family: Simpler in structure and has fewer highly conserved nucleotide positions than the ykkC-yxkD leader. Despite this each of its two stem-loop structures directly bind free guanidine. The record is from RNAcentral. RNAcentral also lists the same sequence under 1 other name.